Molecule: ribosomal RNA, 489 nt
Filed under: uncultured bacterium
Lineage: Bacteria
Description: partial 16S ribosomal RNA
Rfam family: Bacterial small subunit ribosomal RNA
Source: RNAcentral
GAACGCUGGCGGUAGGCCUAACACAUGCAAGUCGAACGGCAGCACAGUAAGAGCUUGCUCUUACGGGUGGCGAGUGGCGGACGGGUGAGGAAUACAUCGGAAUCUACUUUUUCGUGGGGGAUAACGUAGGGAAACUUACGCUAAUGCCGCAUACGACCUACGGGUGAAAGCAGGGGAUCUUCGGACCUUGCGCGAUUGAAUGAGCCGAUGUCGGAUUAGCUAGUUGGCGGGGUAAAGGCCCACCAAGGCGACGAUCCGUAGCUGGUCUGAGAGGAUGAUCAGCCACACUGGAACUGAGACACGGUCCAGACUCCUACGGGAGGCAGCAGUGGGGAAUAUUGGACAAUGGGCGCAAGCCUGAUCCAGCCAUACCGCGUGGGUGAAGAAGGCCUUCGGGUUGUAAAGCCCCUUUGUUGGGAAAGAAAAGCAGCAGGUUAAUACCCCGCUGUUCUGACGGUACCCAAAGAAUAAGCACCGGCUAACUUCGUG